AGAGUUUGAUCCUGGCUCAGGACGAACGCUGGCGGCGUGCCUAAUACAUGCAAGUCGAGCGAUGAUGUUCGGGGGCUUGCCCUAGAAAAUCUUAUGCGCGAACGGGUGAGUAACACGUAAAGAACCUGCCUCAUAGACCGGGACAACUAUUGAAAACGAUAGCUAAUACCGGAUAACAGCAUUAACUGCAUGGUUGAUGUUUGAAAGUUGGUUUUGCUAACACUAUGAGAUGGUUUUGCGGAGUAUUAGCUUGUUGGGGGGGUAAAGCCCUACCAAGGCGACGAUGCAUAGACGACCUGAGAGGAUGAGCGGCCACACUGGUACUGAGACACGGCCCAGACUCCUACGGGAGGCAGCAGGAGGGAAUCUUCCGCAAUGGGCGAGAGCCUGACGGAGCAACGCCGCGUGAGUGAAGAAGGAUUUCGGGUCGUAAAGCUCUGUUGUUAGGAAAGAAUGGUUAUGUAGUAACUAUACAUAGUAGAGACGGUACCUAACAAAAAGCCACGGCUAACUACGUGCCAGCCGCCGCGGUAAUACGUACCCGAGAGCGUUGUCCGGAAUUAUUGGGCGAAAAGCGCGCGCAGGUGGUUUAUAAGUCUGAUGUGAAAGCCCACGGCUCAACCGUGGAGGGUCAUUGGAAACUGUUAAACUUGAGUGCAGGAGAGAGAAGAGGAAUUCCUAGUGUAGCGAAGUAAUGCGUAUAUUUAGGAGGAACGCCGGUGACGGAGGCUCUUUUUUUGCUGUAAUGACACUGAGGACAAAAGCGGGGGAGCAACAGGAUAACUCCCUGGUCGUCCCGUAAAAACGAUGGUACUAGUAGAGCCUCACAGGAGAUAGUGCUGAGCAACGCAUUAAGCACUCCGCUG
Molecule: ribosomal RNA, 866 nt
Filed under: uncultured bacterium
Lineage: Bacteria
Description: bacterial SSU rRNA
Rfam family: Bacterial small subunit ribosomal RNA
Source: RNAcentral